RNAcentral lists this ribosomal RNA (777 nucleotides) under uncultured bacterium. RNAcentral's name for it is "bacterial SSU rRNA". It matches the Rfam family "Bacterial small subunit ribosomal RNA", at positions 89 to 878 of the family's 1533-position model. The record is from RNAcentral.
GAAGCAGCGGCGAACGGGUGAGUAACACGUGAGAAACCUGCCCCGAAGACCGGGAUAACACCGGGAAACCGGUGCUAAUACCGGAUGCCCUCACCGGAUCGCAUGAUCCGGCGAGGAAAUGGAUUCCGCUUCGGGAUGGUCUCGCGGCCUAUCAGCUUGUUGGUGGGGUAACGGCCUACCAAGGCUUCGACGGGUAGCUGGUCUGAGAGGAUGUCCAGCCACACUGGGACUGAGACACGGCCCAGACUCCUACGGGAGGCAGCAGUAGGGAAUCUUGCGCAAUGGGCGAAAGCCUGACGCAGCGACGCCGCGUGCGGGAUGAAGGCCUUCGGGUUGUAAACCCCUUUCAGCAGGGACGAAGCGGAAGUGACGGUACCUGCAGAAGAAGCGCCGGCUAACUACGUGCCAGCAGCCGCGGUAACACGUAGGGCGCAAGCGUUGUCCGGAAUUAUUGGGCGUAAAGAGCUCGUAGGCGGUCUGUUGCGUCCGCUGUGAAAUCUCGGGGCUUAACCCCGAGCCUGCAGUGGAUACGGGCAGACUAGAGGUAGGUAGGGGAGAAUGGAAUUCCCGGUGUAGCGGUGAAAUGCGCAGAUAUCGGGAGGAACACCGGUGGCGAAGGCGGUUCUCUGGGCCUUACCUGACGCUGAGGAGCGAAAGCGUGGGGAGCGAACAGGAUUAGAUACCCUGGUAGUCCACGCCGUAAACGUUGGGCGCUAGGUGUGGGGUCCUUCCACGGAUUCCGUGCCGCAGCUAACGCAUUAAGCGCCCCGCCUGGGG